UGUUGUGCAACUGGUAACCCAAAAAUAAAAAUAUGGUUGUAAAUGCAUUUACCGGUCAUUCUGAUAUUAAUGCUCGCUAUGGGAACACAGGAUGGCCGGGCAGUGAUAGUUGUACAUUUCCAUCACUCGUUGUGUUGAUUUCAUCAUGUCCAUUAGGUGAUGUUUUUACACUAUAGAAUCAUAUUGCAAGUGCGCGCGCAUUUGCAAUAUGUUUCAAUGUGCAUUUACCAUAUGAAAUUUGACAUGCUCAAAAAUGCAAAAUUGACUGGUCUGAUGGACACAGGAUGGCCGAGCAGUGAUAGUUGUACAUUUCCAUCACUCGUUGUGUUGAUUUCAUCAUGUCCAUUAGGUGAUGUUUUUACACUAUAGAAUCAUAUUGCAAGUGCGCGCGCAUUUGCAAUAUGUUUCAAUGUGCAUUUACCAUAUGAAAUUUGACAUGCUCAAAAAUGCUAAAUUGACUGGUCUGAUGGACACAGGAUGGCCGAGCAGUGAUAGUUGUACAUUUCCAUCACUCGUUGUGUUGAUUUCAUCAUGUCCAUUAGGUGAUGUUUUUUCACUAUAGAAUCAUAUUGCAAGUGCGCGCGCAUUUGCAAUAUGUUUCAAUGUGCAUUUACCAUAUGAAAUUUGACAUGCUCAAAAAUGCAAAAUUGACUGGUCUGAUGAA
Long non-coding RNA from Oncorhynchus keta (chum salmon), 664 nucleotides. RefSeq lists it as uncharacterized. NCBI's taxonomy places the organism in Eukaryota, Metazoa, Chordata, Actinopteri, Salmoniformes, Salmonidae. The transcript is spliced from 2 exons. The record is from RefSeq and is a predicted model, not a curated record.